This 1226-nucleotide long non-coding RNA is filed under the name Gouania willdenowi (blunt-snouted clingfish). RNAcentral describes it as "lncRNA (ENSGWIG00000020188.1)". Lineage: Eukaryota; Metazoa; Chordata; Actinopteri; Blenniiformes; Gobiesocidae. The record is from RNAcentral.
CAUGUGCCAGGUGGGGAUUACAGCACAGACGUGUGUGUGUUGCUGCGUGUUCACACAAACCAUUUCUCCCGCCUCACAGACCAAGGUCACAUAUACGGUGCUGGCCUCACGCUGCAAUGUUCAAACAUUUGUUAGCAAUUAGCCUUAGCCACAAAACUGGCUUCAGAAUCCUCAGUCCCUCCCUGCCUCGCUCUCCUUCUUCUCUCACCCUUCUCCUUGUUCAUCCUGUCCCUUUUCUAGCCCCUCCCUCAUUUUCCACUUUCUUUGCCCCCCUCCCAUCUUCUCUCAUCUGACUUUCUUUCCUUCUGUUUCCCAGUUCUGACCUCCCUCCCUCUAAAUGUUGCACAUGGUUUGAAUGUUCACUUUUCUCAGGAUUUGGAUGAGGAGGGAGGAUGUUCGAGAGCUGCAGGCAAACACAAAAGAAGAUUGACUUUUCUUUUAAUAUUAAGUGUUUGGGGGUUUGGGAGUUUUUGGGACUGUGAGUAUUUUUGGUGACAGGUGGAACAUGUUGCAGAUGUGAGUUGGCCAGCACUUGAAUUAAGGCGUAUGCGUUUAUUGUGGAGAAUACAUACAGCGAGACCUUAAGCAAUCAGCACCAGUCAAACAUCAUGAAAGAAAACUAUGGAGGGUACGAGAACCAGCUUUUUAAAGGUAAAGAUGGAUAUUUCCAUCCAUUUAUCCAUCCUUUCCUGUUUUCCUUAAGGAUGAGGAAGAAUAGACUUUACAAAUACAUAUAUACUAGGGGUGUGUAUUGCCUGGCAUCUGGCGAUACGAUUCGUAUCCUGAUACAUAUGUCACGAUACGAUGCGAUGCGAUAUAUCCCGAUAUUAAAGUAUAAGACAAUUGUUGCAAUUUUAUAUAUAAAGCACAUAUAAUGUAAAGAGUAUUGGUCCCAAAACUGAACCUUGUGGAACUCCAUGAUUAACUCUGGCGUGCGCUGAGGAGAGAUUAUUUACAUGAACAAAGUGGGUUCUGUCUGAUGGGUCGGAUUUAAACCAACCCAGCAAUGUUUCUUUUAUCCCAAAAACACCUUCAUGAGAACAUUAUGUAUGAAAUAUAUUUUAUUGGCAUAUUUUACACUCAAAACAUUGUCUUUAACAUGCCACAAAAAUAACAUACAAUCUGCCUGUGGCUUUUAAACCAACCUUGACUUUAGUGCAACUUAACCGAUGUAUAUGUCUAGAACAACAAAUAAAUACAGAAAGUUCGUACUUUCUUUUUAGAUU